ACUAGCGCGCGCAGUACCUCCAUGCCACACUCGCGCUCCGGGAGUGCCUCAGCUCCUCGCUGAUAAGAUUGCCAGAUAGCUGCCCGCUCGUGGCGGCGAUAACCACCGCCCCCGCUGUUCAAGAGCUGGCGAGUGGCGCUGGCAGCAGAGUCGAGCCGUGGCGAGGCAGUCUCGCCCAACUCCGCGGACACGUGCGCUGCGGUGUUCCGGCAGUAGUCCGCCAUCUUGGGUUGUGGCGUCUCGCCGGCCAUUUCAGUGUCACAUUUACUCAUCAUUCCUCAAAGCGCGGGUGCAGGUCUCAGCGCAACAGCAGCAGCAGCAGCAGCAGCAGUAAUGGCGGCAGCAGCCAGACUCGCUCGUGGACAUG
Molecule: long non-coding RNA, 367 nt
Organism: Bacillus rossius redtenbacheri
Lineage: Eukaryota; Metazoa; Arthropoda; Insecta; Phasmatodea; Bacillidae
Exons: 3
Source: RefSeq, a predicted model, not a curated record